This 2797-nucleotide long non-coding RNA is filed under the name Marmota monax (woodchuck). Lineage: Eukaryota; Metazoa; Chordata; Mammalia; Rodentia; Sciuridae. The record is from RNAcentral.
AAGAGAGCUGGGUAGGUAGUGGGCCAGAGGAGCUUGAUUAGAGCCAGUGUGGGAGGGAGAGGGUACACAGGAGCCUGCACAAGUGGCCAGAAGGGAGCCCUCUGUCACCCUGAAAUGGCUCAGCUCAUGACCAAAGAAGCAGAGGCUCAGACAGGUCAGGAUGCUUGCCCAAAGCAGGAAAUGCUGGCUCAGGGAUCCAAAGCAAGGAAUCAUGGAGACUUGAAGACUUGUUUUUAGAAACUCAGCAUGGCAUCUCUUCCCCAGAACGACUCUUGGGCUCCGUGUCUGCAGGUCUGUGAGCCUCCUUCCCCACCCGUGUCUGUCACCAUUCUUGGCUUGUUUCCCUCAGACUGGCCUCUGCUCUGCUCCCAUGGAGGUGUGCCUGCUCCUUCUCCUUCCUACUCUGUCCUUGCUGGCCACUAGAGUAGGAAGGCCACUAGACUCUGUCACCCAGGUUAGGUUGUACUGUGGAGCACAUUUGAGUAUGCAUGUUUUUACAGGAGAUGAGCACAGUUCCUUACCUCCUCUUCUUUCUUAAAAGAAAGAAAAAUACAAACACCAGAAGAAACCUCUCUUCCUAGAUGGUGCAGAUCUGAGCCUUUCCACAAUAGCAGAGCAGUAGGGGCUUUGGAGGGAGCUGCCCAAGCUGUCUCCACCUCAGACCAAGGCUGUCAGAGGAGGUGGGGUUAAUCUCCUGAAGCUCUCUCCCCAGAGAGAAGGCCCUGGUGUGUGGCCAGUGAAUUUCUCAAGGCCCGAAACUGCUUCCCAGAACCAGCCCGUUUUUCCUGCCUGUCCUGUUUGGGCAGUUGGAGGAGGCAGCCAGGAACCCAACCUGCAGGAGGGGGAGAGGGAGGAGAUGGAGGAAGGGGAGGAGGGAGAGGAGACAAACUGAGACCCAGGCCUGGCUGUGAAGGGGUCUGCUUCCCUGCAUCAUCUUUGGAGGCUGGUGACCAUCACUGCUGCCUGUGCAUGGGGCAGAGAUGCAGGCCAGUGGGGCAGAGAAGAGGGUGGAAGGCCACAGUUCUGGUGCUUUGAGCUGAUGGCUCAGCAUUAGCCCCAGAUGCUUCUUCUGCAGGGUCUCAGAGUCUCCUUUUCCUUGAAUGCUCCUUCUUGAGGUGCCCUCAGUUCCCACCUCGGACCUUCAGUCAGGGUGCCCUGGGCUCACCUCCUUGAGCAGUCUCCCCAACACUGAAGCUGUUUCUCCACCAACAGUUUGGAACUCCUUACCUGGCAGUCUCCAUAUGGACCCAGUGGCAUCUCAUGUGUGUUACGUCCAAAGUGGACCCCAUUCUCCUGAAAACUGCAUCUUCCUGUCCUAGUAGCAUCAUGCUCAACUGGGCUCUUUCUCACAAACCUCAAUCCCGUCUUGAUUUCCUGAUGGUGCCACUUUCACAAUACAUUCCAGAUGCCCGUUCCUCUGCACACUGCACCCAGAGCUCCAAGCUCCUAAAUAGGAGCUCCUGCAGGUCCCUGCGUGCUGCCACAAUGCAGGUGGACAAGGAAGGAGCAGCAGCAGCAGGCUGAGACGGAGUUCAGGGCAAUCAUCAGUGUGCACUGGGAGUGCUAGGCUUGUCCCACUCCUGCUUGUUAGGGACCGUGAGCCCACUUCUCAGGAGACACUGGCUUGGGUACAGGAGGUAACUUGACUGAGAUCCUGGGCCUCUUCACAGCCCUGGUCGUCUGGGUCUAGUUUCCACCCUCAGAGCGCUUCACAAAGCUUCCCACUGUAGUGUGAAGCCUUUCCUUGGAGAAGCUAACCCAAACCAAACUGAUCACAGAGUUAAUUUGUGCCCCACAAGGGAGGAUGUGCUGGGAUUCUGAGUGUUGCUUUUGACUUUGCUGCCACCCAGCGCUUACACAGAGAAACUGCCACAUAGUGUCCUUCAGCCCAGCUGUGUGUUUUGAGUCAAAUGAUCCUUUCAGAAUCUGCUUAAUGUGGAGGGCUGUGUUGCUGCUGAGGCCCUAGGUGUGGGAGGCCACUGGGUGGGUCAGAGGUUACACAGGAGAACCCCAAUGUUAGUGGAUAGCCAGCCCCAGACUAGAGCCGCUGCAGCUGCAUGAGGAGAAGCUGUUCCCUGGGUGGGAGUGAGCCUGAAGACUGGCCGUUUAGAGAGCACAGUGACAGCUGGCCCCAGCAGGGACAGUGGUGUCCCUAACUGCUUUGGAGCUGGGGGGCUCAGGGCUCAACUUACCUGAUCUUGUGGGGAGAGAGUGGGUGCAGAGCCCCACAUUCCUAGGCUCAGCCUUUGCCUCUGGGCUAAGGGUGGGGAGGCUAAGCCCAGCACUAUGACUUGGGAAGUCCAAGAACAGGAAUAUCCCCACCCACUUUGGGGCUGACACCUGCCAGCAGCAGAGUGGACAGUGACUUCAGUGACCUGCACACAGCUUAGGUGCCCUGGGUGCCUCUGUUCUUUAAGCCUUCAAAAUGGACUCACCCCCAAAGGUCUGGUGAGUUUUACAUUUUUACAGGUUUUGGGGAGACAAUGGAACCCCGUUGAACAUCCACUUCUAAGCAGAUCUUGCUUCUCCCCCAAUUCCUCUUCCAGCAGCAGCUUCCGCAUGACAAUUCUAGAAUGCCUUUUUUUUGGUAUAAAUCAGCAAACCAGUUCUAAAGUUUAUACGGAAAUGUAGAAGACCAGGAAAUGGCCCUUGAAAAAGGCGCACACAAGGAGAAGAUACUUGAUAUUGAGAUGCAUUGUGAAGCUUCCUUGGCUGAGACAGCACGGCAUUGUCGAUGCAGAGAGAAACAGAGCAGGGGUCAAAUCUGGCCUCCUUUUGUUUUUGAAUGGCCUCUGAG